Molecule: ribosomal RNA, 459 nt
Filed under: uncultured bacterium
Lineage: Bacteria
Description: bacterial SSU rRNA
Rfam family: Bacterial small subunit ribosomal RNA
Source: RNAcentral
AGGCAGCAGUUAGGAAUCUUCCGCAAUGGGCGAAAGCCUGACGGAGCGACGCCGCGUGAGCGAAGAAGGCCUUCGGGUCGUAAAGCUCUGUUGUGAGGGACGAAGGAGCGCCGUUCGAAGAGGGCGGCGCGGUGACGGUACCUCACGAGGAAGCCCCGGCUAACUACGUGCCAGCAGCCGCGGUAAUACGUAGGGGGCGAGCGUUGUCCGGAAUUAUUGGGCGUAAAGCGCGCGCAGGCGGUUCCUUAAGUCUGAUGUGAAAGCCCACGGCUCAACCGUGGAGGGUCAUUGGAAACUGGGGGACUUGAGUGCAGGAGAGGAGGGCGGAAUUCCACGUGUAGCGGUGAAAUGCGUAGAGAUGUGGAGGAACACCAGUGGCGAAGGCGGCUCUCUGGCCUGCAACUGACGCUGAGGCGCGAAAGCGUGGGGAGCAAACAGGAUUAGAUACCCGAGUAGUCC